AUCGCUUCUCGGCCUUUUGGCUAGGAUCAAGUGUGGAAGUAUGGCCAUUUUCACAAUAUUUGUUCUACUUAUUCAGGAAAGGGGGAUAUUGUUUCAUUUUCUGAUGUCCUCUUCAAACUCCUUUUUCAGAGUGUAUUACAGUUUUCACUAUAGAGGUCUUUCACU
Molecule: small nuclear RNA, 165 nt
Organism: Heterocephalus glaber (naked mole-rat)
Lineage: Eukaryota; Metazoa; Chordata; Mammalia; Rodentia; Bathyergidae
Gene: U2
Rfam family: U2 spliceosomal RNA
About the family: U2 is a small nuclear RNA (snRNA) component of the spliceosome (involved in pre-mRNA splicing).
Source: Ensembl